This 432-nucleotide ribosomal RNA is filed under the name Klebsiella sp. TC-5. Its description in RNAcentral is "bacterial SSU rRNA". It matches the Rfam family "Bacterial small subunit ribosomal RNA", at positions 76 to 506 of the family's 1533-position model. Lineage: Bacteria; Pseudomonadati; Pseudomonadota; Gammaproteobacteria; Enterobacterales; Enterobacteriaceae. The record is from RNAcentral.
GAGCUAGCUCUCGAGUGAAGAGCGGCGGAGGGUGAGUAAUGUCUGGGAAACUGCCUGAUGGAGGGGGAACUACUGGAAACGGUAGCUAAUACCGCAAACGUCGCAAGACCAAAGUGGGGGACCUUCGGGCCUCAUGCCAUCAGAUGUGCCCAGAUGGGAUUAGCUAGUAGGUGGGGUAACGGCUCACCUAGGCGACGAUCCCUAGCUGGUCUGAGAGGAUGACCAGCCACACUGGAACUGAGACACGGUCCAGACUCCUACGGGAGGCAGCAGUGGGGAAUAUUGCACAAUGGGCGCAAGCCUGAUGCAGCCAUGCCGCGUGUGUGAAGAAGGCCUUCGGGUUGUAAAGCACUUUCAGCGGGGAGGAAGGCGUUAAGGUUAAUAACCUUCUCGAUUGACGUUUCCCGCAAAAGAAGGACCGGCCAAAUUCGU